GUCUUUGUGCAAGUGUAUAAGCAAGAAUUUUAACAUCUACAUUUUAUAAAGUUAUUGGCCUAUAGUUAUCCAGAGAUUUUGGAUCAUUUUUUUUAAAGAUCAGUGAAAUUGCCCCCUUUUUGAGAAUUUGUCAAACUUUUCUUGUUAUAUGACUCAUUAUAUACUUUGGUUAGUAACUUUUGAAUUUGGGGCCAACAUUUUCUAUAGAAUUAUACAUUAAGUCCGUCUAAACCUGGUGCUUUAUUAAGUUUCAUUUUAAACACUGCUUCUGUAAUUUCUUCUGAUGUUACUAGCCCUUUUAAACUAUUACUAUCUUUAUCUGAGAGGUUUUUUUUUUCUAUUUUAGUAUUUUGAAUAUACUCUUUGGUAUGUAAUUUAUCUUGAUUUAUAUAACUUUUCAUAAUAUUUUGCUUCCUCUUUUAAAAUUUCAGUUUGGUUUGUUGUAAUAUUGCCUUUAUUGUCAUGCAAUUCUAUUAUAGUUUUAUUUACUUGUAUUGAUUUUUCUAAGUUUAAGAAAAAAGCAAUAUGUUUUUACCUUCUUCUAUCCAUUUUGCUCUUGACCUUAUUUGAGCUCCUUUAGUUUUUUGAAGGUAUAAUUGAUCUAAAUGGUCGGUUUUAUUAUUUAUCUGUGAAAGUAGUUCAGAAUUAUUAGAACUUUCACUUCGAUCUAAUUUAAUAUUUAGCUUAUUAAGGUCAUUUUCAUAAGUUUUUAUUUUUUCUCUUUUUUGUUUUGCUUUUCUUUUGCAAAAAUCUAGACUGAUAUCCCGAACUUCAGUUUUAAAGUUAUCCCACAGUUUACCUAAAUUU
This 807-nucleotide long non-coding RNA is filed under the name Mytilus galloprovincialis (Mediterranean mussel). Lineage: Eukaryota; Metazoa; Mollusca; Bivalvia; Mytilida; Mytilidae. The record is from RNAcentral.